GGUUAAGCGACUAAGCGUACACGGUGGAUGCCCUGGCAGUCAGAGGCGAUGAAGGACGUGCUAAUCUGCGAAAAGCGUCGGUAAGGUGAUAUGAACCGUUAUAACCGGCGAUGUCCGAAUGGGGAAACCCAGUGCAAUUCGUUGCACUAUCGUUAACUGAAUACAUAGGUUAACGAGGCGAACCGGGGGAACUGAAACAUCUAAGUACCCCGAGGAAAAGAAAUCAACCGAGAUUCCCCCAGUAGCGGCGAGCGAACGGGGAGCAGCCCAGAGUCUGAAUCAGCUUGUGUGUUAGUGGAACGGUCUGGAAAGUCCGACGGUACAGGGUGAUAGUCCCGUACACCAAAAUGCACAGGUUGUGAACUCGAAGAGUAGGGCGGGACACGUGGUAUCCUGUCUGAAUAUGGGGGGACCAUCCUCCAAGGCUAAAUACUCCUGACUGACCGAUAGUGAACCAGUACCGUGAGGGAAAGGCGAAAAGAACCCCGGCGAGGGGAGUGAAAAAGAACCUGAAACCGUGUACGUACAAGCAGUGGGAGCACCUUCGGGUGUGACUGCGUACCUUUUGUAUAAUGGGUCAGCGACUUAUAUUCUGUAGCAAGGUUAACCGUAUAGGGGAGCCGCAGGGAAACCGAGUCUUAACUGGGCGUUAAGUUGCAGGGUAUAGACCCGAAACCCGGUGAUCUAGCCAUGGGCAGGUUGAAGGUUGGGUAACACUAACUGGAGGACCGAACCGACUAAUGUUGAAAAAUUAGCGGAUGACUUGUGGCUGGGGGUGAAAGGCCAAUCAAACCGGGAGAUAGCUGGUUCUCCCCGAAAGCUAUUUAGGUAGCGCCUCGUGAACUCAUCUUCGGGGGUAGAGCACUGUUUCGGCUAGGGGGUCAUCCCGACUUACCAACCCGAUGCAAACUACGAAUACCGAAGAAUGUUAUCACGGGAGACACACGGCGGGUGCUAACGUCCGUCGUGAAGAGGGAAACAACCCAGACCGCCAGCUAAGGUCCCAAAGUCAUGGUUAAGUGGGAAACGAUGUGGGAAGGCACAGACAGCCAGGAUGUUGGCUUAGAAGCAGCCAUCAUUUAAAGAAAGCGUAAUAGCUCACUGGUCGAGUCGGCCUGCGCGGAAGAUGUAACGGGGCUAAACCAUGCACCGAAGCUGCGGCAGCGACACUAUGUGUUGUUGGGUAGGGGAGCGUUCUGUAAGCCUGCGAAGGUGUGCUGUGAGGCAUGCUGGAGGUAUCAGAAGUGCGAAUGCUGACAUAAGUAACGAUAAAGCGGGUGAAAAGCCCGCUCGCCGGAAGACCAAGGGUUCCUGUCCAACGUUAAUCGGGGCAGGGUGAGUCGACCCCUAAGGCGAGGCCGAAAGGCGUAGUCGAUGGGAAACAGGUUAAUAUUCCUGUACUUGGUGUUACUGCGAAGGGGGGACGGAGAAGGCUAUGUUAGCCGGGCGACGGUUGUCCCGGUUUAAGCAUGUAGGCUGGUUAUCCAGGCAAAUCCGGAUAAUCAAGGCUGAGGUGUGAUGACGAGGCACUACGGUGCUGAAGUAACAAAUGCCCUGCUUCCAGGAAAAGCCUCUAAGCAUCAGGUAACAUCAAAUCGUACCCCAAACCGACACAGGUGGUCAGGUAGAGAAUACCAAGGCGCUUGAGAGAACUCGGGUGAAGGAACUAGGCAAAAUGGUGCCGUAACUUCGGGAGAAGGCACGCUGGUGUGUAGGUGAAGUCCCUGCGGAUGGAGCUGAGACCAGUCGAAGAUACCAGCUGGCUGCAACUGUUUAUUAAAAACACAGCACUGUGCAAACACGAAAGUGGACGUAUACGGUGUGACGCCUGCCCGGUGCCGGAAGGUUAAUUGAUGGGGUUAUCCGUAAGGAGAAGCUCUUGAUCGAAGCCCCGGUAAACGGCGGCCGUAACUAUAACGGUCCUAAGGUAGCGAAAUUCCUUGUCGGGUAAGUUCCGACCUGCACGAAUGGCGUAAUGAUGGCCAGGCUGUCUCCACCCGAGACUCAGUGAAAUUGAACUCGCUGUGAAGAUGCAGUGUACCCGCGGCAAGACGGAAAGACCCCGUGAACCUUUACUAUAGCUUGACACUGAACAUUGAGCCUUGAUGUGUAGGAUAGGUGGGAGGCUUUGAAGCGUGGACGCCAGUCUGCGUGGAGCCAACCUUGAAAUACCACCCUUUAAUGUUUGAUGUUCUAACGUUGGCCCCUUACCGGGGUUGCGGACAGUGUCUGGUGGGUAGUUUGACUGGGGCGGUCUCCUCCCAAAGCGUAACGGAGGAGCACGAAGGUUAGCUAAUCCUGGUCGGACAUCAGGAGGUUAGUGCAAUGGCAUAAGCUAGCUUGACUGCGAGCGUGACGGCGCGAGCAGGUGCGAAAGCAGGUCAUAGUGAUCCGGUGGUUCUGAAUGGAAGGGCCAUCGCUCAACGGAUAAAAGGUACUCCGGGGAUAACAGGCUGAUACCGCCCAAGAGUUCAUAUCGACGGCGGUGUUUGGCACCUCGAUGUCGGCUCAUCACAUCCUGGGGCUGAAGUAGGUCCCAAGGGUAUGGCUGUUCGCCAUUUAAAGUGGUACGCGAGCUGGGUUUAGAACGUCGUGAGACAGUUCGGUCCCUAUCUGCCGUGGGCGCUGGAGAAUUGAGGGGGGCUGCUCCUAGUACGAGAGGACCGGAGUGGACGCAUCACUGGUGUUCGGGUUGUCAUGCCAAUGGCACUGCCCGGUAGCUAAAUGCGGAAGAGAUAAGUGCUGAAAGCAUCUAAGCACGAAACUUGCCCCGAGAUGAGUUCUCCCUGAGACUUUAAGUCUCCUGAAGGAACGUUAAAGACGAUGACGUUGAUAGGCCGGGUGUGUAAGCGCAGCGAUGCGUUGAGCUAACCGGUACUAAUGAACCGUGAGGCUUAACCUU
Molecule: ribosomal RNA, 2902 nt
Filed under: Klebsiella pneumoniae
Lineage: Bacteria; Pseudomonadati; Pseudomonadota; Gammaproteobacteria; Enterobacterales; Enterobacteriaceae
Also listed under: 2 other names
Description: 23S ribosomal RNA
Rfam family: Bacterial large subunit ribosomal RNA
Source: RNAcentral